Molecule: long non-coding RNA, 693 nt
Filed under: Mustela putorius furo (domestic ferret)
Lineage: Eukaryota; Metazoa; Chordata; Mammalia; Carnivora; Mustelidae
Description: lncRNA (ENSMPUG00000028690.1)
Source: RNAcentral
UAAAAUUCUGACUUUAAAUUAUCUGUGUGCUUCAGAGAUUUGGGCAGAAGAAAGGGAGAAGCCCAGCUUCUGUGAACACCUCUGUUACCCGCGUUGACCAUGGAAUAGUGAAAAAUCACUGUUCCUGGUUCACAACUUCAACAACACAGAAGGGCGGCUGUUGUUCAUUCUGGAGCUUCCCUGCAGAACCAAGCAUGUGUAUAUAUUUUCUGGCACAAAUGGGCUCAUUCUAGAAGGAUGCUUGGAAGGUCUGAGAAGCACUGUCCACUCUGUUGGAACAGAAGCAGGCGUGCUGGCCUUAGGUCAGAGGUGCCUUCUUAUCCCCACCUGACAACAAUUCUUUGAUCUGCCUCCACGAGACCCGAAGUUUUGAACCACAGCAUCUGAGUCACACAGCCCAUCACAGGACAUCAGUGUUCCAAGAAAGCAACAGGUACAUCGGGCGCAGUGUCACUUAUGUGUCGGGGCUGGAGGUAAAGCUUCUUUUUAACCCAAAAUCUCCUGGGCUUUUCUCUUUUCUCUAGUUGAGCCAUGAAGUAAAACCGAAGUAGCUGUCAGCAUGGUGGAUUCGGUGCAACAGCUCCUUAGUGUCCCCGCAGGUAGCACAUCACAGGGAAUACCAUUUGCUCUGCUCAUUUACUACUUACCAAAUGUAAUCUGAAACCCCUGUUUCCUAGGAAAUCACUUGUAUCA